UAACUACGUGCCAGCAGCCGCGGUGAUACGUAGGGUGCGAGCGUUGUCCGGAUUUAUUGGGCGUAAAGGGCUCGUAGGUGGUUGAUCGCGUCGGAAGUGUAAUCUUGGGGCUUAACCCUGAGCGUGCUUUCGAUACGGGUUGACUUGAGGAAGGUAGGGGAGAAUGGAAUUCCUGGUGGAGCGGUGGAAUGCGCAGAUAUCAGGAGGAACACCGAUGGCGAAGGCAGGUCUCUGGGCCGUUACUGACACUGAGAAGCGAAAGCAUGGGGAG
This 271-nucleotide ribosomal RNA is filed under the name Striatella unipunctata. RNAcentral's name for it is "partial Bacterial small subunit ribosomal RNA". It matches the Rfam family "Bacterial small subunit ribosomal RNA", at positions 498 to 768 of the family's 1533-position model. Lineage: Eukaryota; Bacillariophyta; Striatellaphyceae; Striatellales; Striatellaceae. The record is from RNAcentral.